Molecule: ribosomal RNA, 497 nt
Filed under: uncultured bacterium
Lineage: Bacteria
Description: bacterial SSU rRNA
Rfam family: Bacterial small subunit ribosomal RNA
Source: RNAcentral
GAUCCUGGCUCAGAUUGAACGCUGGCGGCAUGCCUUACACAUGCAAGUCGAACGGCAGCACGGGAGCAAUCCUGGUGGCGAGUGGCGAACGGGUGAGUAAUACAUCGGAACGUGCCCAAUCGUGGGGGAUAACGUAGCGAAAGUUACGCUAAUACCGCAUACGAUCUACGGAUGAAAGCGGGGGAUCGCAAGACCUCGCGCGAAUGGAGCGGCCGAUGUCAGAUUAGGUAGUUGGUGGGGUAAAGGCUCACCAAGCCAACGAUCUGUAGCUGGUCUGAGAGGACGACCAGCCACACUGGAACUGAGACACGGUCCAGACUCCUACGGGAGGCAGCAGUGGGGAAUUUUGGACAAUGGGCGCAAGCCUGAUCCAGCCAUUCCGCGUGCAGGAUGAAGGCCUUCGGGUUGUAAACUGCUUUUGUACGGAACGAAACGGUCUGCCCUAAUACGGUGGGCUAAUGACGGUACCGUAAGAAUAAGCACCGGCUAACUACGUG